Molecule: long non-coding RNA, 429 nt
Filed under: Gallus gallus (chicken)
Lineage: Eukaryota; Metazoa; Chordata; Aves; Galliformes; Phasianidae
Source: RNAcentral
AAGGAAACAGCUGGAAGUUAGGAUGUAGAGAGCUGUCCUGCAAGUAGAAGUCUCCGAAGUAAUAACACAUGCUGUUGGUCCUCAGCACUGUAAUUCAUCUGUGAAGGCCAGGAAACUGUCAGUAAAAGAGUCUGAAACAGAUUUGAAAGUGAAUCUGACAACCAAGUCUCCCCAGACACAGCUUUCCAAGCCUGGGACACCAGACGCAUCAGCCUGAAUCACACUGCCUCCAGCCCUCUGAGCAUUUCCUGCUUCUGAGAGAGAGCAGCUACAUUCUGACAGCUUCAAUGGGAGGUGUCAGCCUAUUUCCAGAGCUUUCUAAAGACAUUCUGUCAUUCUGUGAAUGAUAUCAUUGUGUGGAACCUCUGAGAUAAUGAGACUAUGAACAUCAUCCCACAGUACCAUUUGGCUCAAAGACAGAGAAACAUA